AGCCACAGCCAUAUCACCCUGCAGCCCAAGACUGGUUGCCCACUGAAGCUAAGCAGGGUUGAGUCUGGUCAGUACCUGGAUGGGAGAUCUCCUGGGAAAACUAGGUUGCUGUUGGAA
RNAcentral lists this ribosomal RNA (117 nucleotides) under Sinocyclocheilus grahami. The record is from RNAcentral. Lineage: Eukaryota; Metazoa; Chordata; Actinopteri; Cypriniformes; Cyprinidae.